This 164-nucleotide ribosomal RNA is filed under the name Raddiella esenbeckii. RNAcentral describes it as "5.8S ribosomal RNA". It matches the Rfam family "5.8S ribosomal RNA". Rfam says of the family: 5.8S ribosomal RNA (5.8S rRNA) is a component of the large subunit of the eukaryotic ribosome. The record is from RNAcentral. Lineage: Eukaryota; Viridiplantae; Streptophyta; Magnoliopsida; Poales; Poaceae.
AUCACGACUCUCGGCAACGGAUAUCUCGGCUCUCGCAUCGAUGAAGAACGUAGCGAAAUGCGAUACCUGGUGUGAAUUGCAGAAUCCCGCGAACCAUCGAGUCUUUGAACGCAAGUUGCGCCCGAGGCCGUCCGGCCGAGGGCACGCCUGCCUGGGCGUCACGC